This 237-nucleotide ribosomal RNA is filed under the name uncultured bacterium. RNAcentral's name for it is "partial 16S ribosomal RNA". It matches the Rfam family "Bacterial small subunit ribosomal RNA", at positions 29 to 262 of the family's 1533-position model. The record is from RNAcentral.
AGUGAACGCUGGCGGCAGGCCUAACACAUGCAAGUCGAACGGCAGCACAGGAGAGCUUGCUCUCUGGGUGGCGAGUGGCGGACGGGUGAGGAAUACGUCGGAAUCUGCCUAUUUGUGGGGGAUAACGUAGGGAAACUUACGCUAAUACCGCAUACGACCUACGGGUGAAAGCGGAGGACCUUCGGCUUCGCGCAGAUAGAUGAGCCGACGUCGGAUUAGCUAGUUGGCGGGGAAGGG